GACAGAGGUCCCGAGCGUUAGGCGGAAUCACUGGGCUUAAAGCGUGUGUAGGCGGAGUGCUAAGUACCUUGUGAAAUCCCACGGCUUAACCGUGGAACUGCUGGGUAUACUGGUUCUCUUGGGCCACUUAGGGGUUACCGGAACAAACGGUGGAGCGGUGAAAUGCAUUGAGAUCGGAAAGAACACCAACGGCGAAAGCACUCUGCUGGGCCGACACUGACACUGAGAGACGAAAGCUAGGGGAGCAAAUGGG
Molecule: ribosomal RNA, 253 nt
Filed under: uncultured bacterium
Lineage: Bacteria
Description: partial 16S ribosomal RNA
Rfam family: Bacterial small subunit ribosomal RNA
Source: RNAcentral